UCGAGAAUUUUUCACAAUGGGGGAAACCCUGAUGGAGCGACGCCGCGUGGAGGAUGAAGGUCUUCGGAUUGUAAACUCCUGUCAUGCGGGAACAAGAAAGUGAUAGUACCGCAAGAGGAAGAGACGGCUAACUCUGUGCCAGCAGCCGCGGUAAUACAGAGGUCUCAAGCGUUGUUCGGAUUCAUUGGGCGUAAAGGGUGCGCAGGCGGCGUGGUAAGUUGAGUGUGAAAUCCCGGGGCUUAACCUCGGAACUGCACUCAAUACUGCCAUGCUAGAGGAAUGUAGAGGAGAGUGGAAUUCACGGUGUAGCAGUGAAAUGCGUAGAUAUCGUGAGGAAGACCAGUUGCGAAGGCGACUCUCUGGGCAUUUCCUGACGCUCAGGCACGAAGGCCAGGGGAGCAAACGGG
RNAcentral lists this ribosomal RNA (407 nucleotides) under uncultured bacterium. RNAcentral's name for it is "bacterial SSU rRNA". It matches the Rfam family "Bacterial small subunit ribosomal RNA", at positions 355 to 776 of the family's 1533-position model. The record is from RNAcentral.